This 301-nucleotide ribosomal RNA is filed under the name uncultured bacterium. RNAcentral describes it as "partial 16S ribosomal RNA". It matches the Rfam family "Bacterial small subunit ribosomal RNA", at positions 509 to 807 of the family's 1533-position model. The record is from RNAcentral.
CAGUCGCCACGGUAAUACGUAGGGUGCAAGCGUUAAUCGGAAUUACUGGGCGUAAAGCGUGCGCAGGCGGUUAUAUAAGUCAGAUGUGAAAUCCCCGGGCUCAACCUGGGAACUGCAUUUGAGACUGUAUGGCUAGAGUGUGUCAGAGGGGGGUAGAAUUCCACGUGUAGCAGUGAAAUGCGUAGAUAUGUGGAGGAAUACCGAUGGCGAAGGCAGCCCCCUGGGAUAACACUGACGCUCAUGCACGAAAGCGUGGGGAGCAAACAGGAUUAGAUACCCCCGUAGUCCCUGUCUCUUAUAC